Non-coding RNA from Nothobranchius furzeri (turquoise killifish), 707 nucleotides. Lineage: Eukaryota; Metazoa; Chordata; Actinopteri; Cyprinodontiformes; Nothobranchiidae. The record is from RefSeq and is a predicted model, not a curated record.
CACAAGAGGGAAUCUAGAGAGGGAUGGAGAACACCAGGAGGCACAAAAAGGGAAGGGGCUGACGCAGACCAUGACAGCCCUAUUCUUAUCUACACUCUUUUUUUAAACUCCAAAGUCUUAAAACAAUAUAGUAAUUCUACUUUUAUUUAUUGUUUUCAUAACAGAAUAGAACUGUUAUGAAAACUUUGUCAGGCUGACAAAGUUUGCAGCCGCAAACAAAACGUUGCAGGUAAAUAAAACCCUUCUAUGUUUUAAAAAGAGCUAAAAGAUGGAAUUGUUGUUUUAUCCUUGUUCACAGACUGGGAUCCUAAAGGGAAUUUCCAUCCUACUUGUGUGGCUGAAUGACAUCUUCAACCAAUUUUGGUACAUUUGCCAGAAAGCACAACAUCGUGAUAUGUUUAAUGACAUGUGGGUGGGUGUGCUUCACCAUGUCACAGGGAAGCAUGAAUGGACCCGUGGCAAAUGUGACCAUGGACCACUUGAUGCAACGACCAGUGAUAAAGAGCUCAUGGUGCCAUGAUCUCCACCAUACGAGGCUCUUCAACGAAUCAUGUUCAACAGACGCUGGUUGAAGGAUGUCACCAAUCUGACCUUUAGGCCCCAGCUACGUGAAGCAUCAAAAGACAGGAAUGACUUCUUUCAUGCACACAGAUUUAUUUGAAAUUAAGAAAAAAUACUAUGUACAAAUGCAAAUAACAGAACUUUUU